Molecule: ribosomal RNA, 326 nt
Filed under: uncultured bacterium
Lineage: Bacteria
Description: bacterial SSU rRNA
Rfam family: Bacterial small subunit ribosomal RNA
Source: RNAcentral
GAUGAACGCUGGCGGCGUGCCUAACACAUGCAAGUCGAGCGAAGCGAUUUGGCGGAAGUUUUCGGAUGGAAGCUAAAUUGACUGAGCGGGCGACGGGUGAAGGUACGCGUAGGUAACCGUGCCUCAUACAGGGGGAUAACAGUUAGAAAUGACUGCUAAUACCGCAUAAGCGCACAGCAUCGCAUGAUGCAGUGCGAAAAACUCCGGUGGUAUGAGAUGGACCCGCGUCUGAUUAGCUAGUUGGUGAGGUAACGGCUCACCAAGGCGACGAUCAGUAGCCGACCUGAGAGGGUGAUCGGCCACAUUGGGACUGAGACACGGCCCAA